RNAcentral lists this long non-coding RNA (291 nucleotides) under Phoenix dactylifera (date palm). RNAcentral's name for it is "long non-coding RNA (PDAC_LNC012179)". The record is from RNAcentral. Lineage: Eukaryota; Viridiplantae; Streptophyta; Magnoliopsida; Arecales; Arecaceae.
AUUAGGACCUUACUCUCUGAGUAAGGGGAACCUCCCACCUGCUUACCUGCCAAUUGUUCGAUUACCUCUUAUGAAGAGCUCAAGUUGCAAACACUAAGACCUGAUUAACCAAUAUUAAGUCAAUAGGUCUUCCACUGUAGUAGAGCUGCUAAAGUCUUUCUGAUGUUGAUUUGCCUCGGCUGGAUACAGUGGGCAAGUUGCAUCGGGGGACUGGACCUCUCUAUAGACAUGAGAUGUUGUAGGGUAAAGGUGGGAUUGGGCACCAAUAACUGUUAGGUGAGGACCCAAUGA